UUUGUCCAGUUGUCUAUAGUUUUGUGUAUACAAAGUGAAUUGUUUACAGUGAUGCUUGGUUGUUUUUGGGACGAAGAAAUUUUUAGGUACUUAAGAAUGAGGAUUGCCGUUAUUCUUCGUUUAUACAGUGGCAGUGGAAAUUGUUUUCAGUUCUUCAGAAAGCGUUGGCGUCUCUGCGAAUGUUAAGCCUGUGGGCGUGCAGCCAUAACCUGGCUGAGAAUUCUUUUAGUGUCAGGAAUUACGAACUGCUUAAUGGUUACGAAACUAAACGAAUCUGUCCAUACGGAUGCAUAAGUGUUCACAGGUCCCAGCGCAUGGCAUCCGUCUCUACAGAGCUGCCACUACAUUGCUGGAUCUCUGCAACCUCAGUUUCAGAUAUCUUCAAAGUGUGCAGAACCUUUUGUUUGCACUAAUUGUGGCAAACAUUACCGCUUUAAGGGGAACUUGCAACGACAUGUGAAACAUGAGUGUGGCAAGUUGCCACAGUUUCAGUGUCCCUACUGCCCGAGGCAGAGCACUCAAAAGAGCAAUCUGAUUCGCCAUAUUAAAAAGUUUCAUCCUAUGGAACCGAUUGUAUAAAAUAGUACUCAACCAGUGAUGACGUCAAAUCUUGGGUUGGUUGGUCUACGACAAGAGGCGAAGAACUUUCCAGUCCAGCAUCAGAGGAUAAAUCUUCACUCCGUGCAUUGCGAUCGAGAGGUGUUUUUCCAUGUCCAAAAUGUGGACGGACAUAUGUUCGAAAGGAUUCAUUGAAGAGGCAUCUUCAGUGGGAAUGUGGCAAGGAGCCUACCUUUCAGUGCCCAUUUUGUCCCCAGCGAUGUAAGCGCAAGUCGCACCAGAUUCGUCACAUACGAAGACAGCAUAAAGACUUGGUGGAUGUGAUUGAAGACCUCUCAGAUUCAUAAGUCAUAAUCAUUUGCGCGUUGGACACCAGGUAUUGAGAUUUGUUGUUCUAGAAGUGUAUAGCAUCAUAGUAAGACUGUUACCUUAAUUUUUCAUGCAUCAUUGUCUCACAUAAAGGGCACAUGCCAAUAAAUGGGACAGAAACUGUGAGAAAUGUUAAUAAUGAAGAAUGUAUGUUUAUUGACAUUUGAAAGAGAUUAUACAUGUUUGAUAAAAACCGUCCUGAUUCAUAAAGUUACAUUUCA
Schistocerca nitens (vagrant locust) is the source of this 1148-nucleotide RNA transcript. It is a transcript of the gene named longitudinals lacking protein-like, with no coding region annotated. NCBI's taxonomy places the organism in Eukaryota, Metazoa, Arthropoda, Insecta, Orthoptera, Acrididae. The record is from RefSeq and is a predicted model, not a curated record. The transcript has 3 exons.